RNAcentral lists this ribosomal RNA (770 nucleotides) under uncultured bacterium. RNAcentral describes it as "bacterial SSU rRNA". It matches the Rfam family "Bacterial small subunit ribosomal RNA", at positions 8 to 796 of the family's 1533-position model. The record is from RNAcentral.
AGAGUUUGAUCAUGGCUCAGGACGAACGCUGGCGGCGUGCUUAACACAUGCAAGUCGAGCGGAAAGGCCCUUCGGGGUACUCGAGCGGCGAACGGGUGAGUAACACGUGAGCAACCUGCCCCUAGCUCUGGGAUAGCUCCGGGAAACCGGGAUUAAUACCAGAUACGACCACUUUAGACAUCUGCUGUGGUGGAAAGGAUUCCGGCUAGGGAUGGGCUCGCGGCCUAUCAGCUUGUUGGUGGGGUAACGGCCUACCAAGGCGACGACGGGUAGCCGGCCUGAGAGGGCGACCGGCCACACUGGGACUGAGACACGGCCCAGACUCCUACGGGAGGCAGCAGUGGGGAAUAUUGCGCAAUGGGCGAAAGCCUGACGCAGCGACGCCGCGUGGGGGAUGAAGGCCUUCGGGUUGUAAACCCCUUUCAGCAGGGACGAAGCGAAAGUGACGGUACCUGCAGAAGAAGCGCCGGCUAACUACGUGCCAGCAGCCGCGGUAACACGUAGGGCGCAAGCGUUGUCCGGAAUUAUUGGGCGUAAAGAGCUCGUAGGCGGUCUGUUGCGUCCGCUGUGAAAUCUCGGGGCUUAACCCCGAGCCUGCAGUGGAUACGGGCAGACUAGAGGUAGGUAGGGGAGAAUGGAAUUCCCGGUGUAGCGGUGAAAUGCGCAGAUAUCGGGAGGAACACCGGUGGCGAAGGCGGUUCUCUGGGCCUUACCUGACGCUGAGGAGCGAAAGCGUGGGGAGCGAACAGGAUUAGAUACCCUGGUAGUCC